This 465-nucleotide ribosomal RNA is filed under the name uncultured Klebsiella sp. RNAcentral describes it as "bacterial SSU rRNA". It matches the Rfam family "Bacterial small subunit ribosomal RNA", at positions 338 to 795 of the family's 1533-position model. The record is from RNAcentral. Lineage: Bacteria; Pseudomonadati; Pseudomonadota; Gammaproteobacteria; Enterobacterales; Enterobacteriaceae.
CCUACGGGCGGCUGCAGUGGGGAAUAUUGCACAAUGGGCGCAAGCCUGAUGCAGCCAUGCCGCGUGUGUGAAGAAGGCCUUCGGGUUGUAAAGCACUUUCAGCGGGGAGGAAGGCGGUGAGGUUAAUAACCUCAUCGAUUGACGUUACCCGCAGAAGAAGCACCGGCUAACUCCGUGCCAGCAGCCGCGGUAAUACGGAGGGUGCAAGCGUUAAUCGGAAUUACUGGGCGUAAAGCGCACGCAGGCGGUCUGUCAAGUCGGAUGUGAAAUCCCCGGGCUCAACCUGGGAACUGCAUUCGAAACUGGCAGGCUAGAGUCUUGUAGAGGGGGGUAGAAUUCCAGGUGUAGCGGUGAAAUGCGUAGAGAUCUGGAGGAAUACCGGUGGCGAAGGCGGCCCCCUGGACAAAGACUGACGCUCAGGUGCGAAAGCGUGGGGAGCAAGCAGGAUUAGAUACCCUAGUAGUC